This 329-nucleotide ribosomal RNA is filed under the name uncultured eukaryote. RNAcentral's name for it is "partial 18S ribosomal RNA". It matches the Rfam family "Eukaryotic small subunit ribosomal RNA", at positions 1470 to 1796 of the family's 1831-position model. The record is from RNAcentral.
CCCUUAGAUGUUCUGGGCCGCACGCGCGCUACACUGAUGCAUUCAACGAGUCUAAAACCUGGUCUGAUAGGGCUGGGUAAUCUUUUGAAAGUGCAUCGUGAUUGGGAUAGAGCAUUGCAAUUAUUGCUCUUCAACGAGGAAUUCCUAGUAAGCGCAAGUCAUCAGCUUGCGUUGAUUACGUCCCUGCCCUUUGUACACACCGCCCGUCGCUACUACCGAUUGAAUGGCUUAGUGAGGCCUCCGGAUUGCGCCUGAGGAGCGGGCGACCGCACCUUGGGCUCGAGAAGCUGGUCAAACCUGGUCAUUUAGAGGAAGUAAAAGUCGUAACA